Long non-coding RNA from Engraulis encrasicolus (European anchovy), 1859 nucleotides. RefSeq lists it as uncharacterized. NCBI's taxonomy places the organism in Eukaryota, Metazoa, Chordata, Actinopteri, Clupeiformes, Engraulidae. The transcript is spliced from 5 exons. The record is from RefSeq and is a predicted model, not a curated record.
CGGGAAGAUUGGCAAGGGGUAAGCUGUGUUUUUUUCCUCCGUGUCACAAACUAUUUAAUGAUGUUUCUGUACUUUAAUUUCUCUGUUAUUUUAUUGAUCUUUGAUGGGAAGAUAUUCUGUUACGUUUGUGUUGAUAUUUUCGUUGUAAUUUUCGCUCAAAGUAUGUACAUUAGCGCCAUUAAUGUCCGCGAUCGUUAUGAAGUUAGCAGGUGCUAACGAGCCUAUUGUGUCGCAGGAAUGCCGUUCGCUUCGACCCCUUGCAGUGUGCCUCAUUGUGUCCGCCCUGUCUGUUGUUUCAGAUAUAAGAAGUUGGGGUUGGGGUUGAUGAUCCACAUGAUGGUGAUGGACCAGGACAGCUCUGGACCUCCUGACUGGCAGCUCCAUCCUCAACCUCCCUUCCUGUCCUUCACACAUGUGCAGGCAGAGAGGCAGUUUUCUGAAGGAUGGUUAAUGUCAGUACCAACAUGUUGUGAUGGAGGCUUCCACCUGAGCUGAACACAGAAACUUACACACAGUGAUGGAAGCAGUCGUUCCUGUUAAGCAUUGAUAUACCGGUAAUGGGUUUGAUGAGCCACAGCAUAGUGAUGGGCAAUCAGCAUCAGGACCAGGGCCGCUCACAAGGAGAACCUCCUGCCCUGCCUCUUCAUCCUCAACCUCCAAUCUUCCUGCUCUUCACACAUGUGCAGGCACAGAGCCAGUUUUCAGAGGGAGGGCUGAUGACACCAGCAACUUCGGAUCUGAACCUGAUCAACCCAGCACCAACCACUGUGCCGCUCCUCCUCUGUCAACUGCACCACAUGGCUCCACCAUCUCAAAAAGGCACAGACACUACUCCACUUCCUGCGAAGGAUGAGAGAAGAGCCGACCUCCCCACAACGGCACUCACCACCUUCUACAGGGGUGUCAUUGAGAGCAUCCUGACCAGCAGCCUCUCUGUCUGGCAUGGCAGCCGUCAAGCUGAAGACUAGAAGGCAGUACAGAGAGUGGUGAGGACAGCAGAAAAGCUCAUAAGAUCACCCCUACCUGUUCUCCCUACUACCAUCAGGGAAGCGCUAGCCCAGCAUGCGGUGCUGCAAAAGCACACUGGGAAACGGCUUCUUUCCACAAGCCAUCAGACUCCUCAACGCACUGAAGAAAACCACAUGAAUAACCAAGGACACGGGAGAAUAUUCCAUGAACACUUCUUUCACCAUGCCACUUACACUUUACUCAUUGCACCUUGUAUACAGCAUCUUCACAUCACCUGUAUGAACUCCUCCUGCCGUGUGUGUGUGUCCACUGUGUUUGUGUAUUUAUUGUCCAUCAGUAUGUUAAUCUUAUUAUUGCACACUGUUUGGGUGUCUGUGUGAGUGUAUUUAUAGUAUGUAUCAGUCUGUAUUUAAUGCCAAUGCCUUAUUUUUUAGUUAUUAGUUAAAUGCACAUUGGAGACUGGUCAAACACAAUUUCAAACUUUGUGUUAACCCUCCAUAGCUUUUUUGUCAAAAAAUGGAGUCUAAUCUACUGUACUACACAGGCUAUCAACAGACCACACAGUUGACUGCUGUUUUAUGCACUCUGAAUAUGAGAGGGAGAGGUGACCGUUCACACUUCAUAGUGUAAAAGUAAACAGAAAUAAAUUCACAUUUCAUUCCUGUCUCGUUCACUUCUUUCAGCAAUGUAUGUGGCCUACAUGCAGGGAAGCUGACAGGGGGGACAAAGGGGUCCGUUGACCUGGGCCCAGUGAGACGAGGGGUCCAGGAAUGGGUCCUCAUUACAUUGUAUGUAGUCUAUGUAUUGAGUGGGGGGCCCUUUCAGAUGACUUUGUCCUGGGCAAAGCCAAAGCUGUCAGCGGCCCUGAUUAUGUAUGCACAAACACUGGU